This is a long non-coding RNA of Symphalangus syndactylus (siamang), 5677 nucleotides long. RefSeq lists it as uncharacterized. The record is from RefSeq and is a predicted model, not a curated record. NCBI's taxonomy places the organism in Eukaryota, Metazoa, Chordata, Mammalia, Primates, Hylobatidae.
GCAAGAAAGACAUAAGCAACAUAGAGUAGCUACCCACGUGCGUAAUAAAAGAUUGGUGUGGGGGCGUCCAGAGAUUCGUGCCCUAUGCAGAUGGCACACCUGGUCCUAACUUUUUUCGCACCCGAUGUAGAUCAGACACUGCUCCCUGCUAGCUCAUCUAUAAAAAUCUUUGCAUUUCACUGUGCAUCAGCAACCUAUUUUUCUGGGACCCCUCUCUGUAACAGAGAGCUAUUCUUUUUCUUUCAGCUAUUAAAUUUCCACUCUUAACCUUACCCUUUGUGUGUCCGCAUCCUUGAUCUCUGUGGCUGUGAGACAAUGAACCUUGGGUGUCACCCCAGACAAUGAGGCCACUUCACUAGCAGCCACCUCUGGCUUCCUCAAGCAGCUGGCAACCCCAUCGGGACUCCUCUUCCCCUUUUCCACCACACAGAUUUCCCAUUCCUCUCCCUGCCUUUGAGUCUCUGCCAAACACUAUUGAGCUGCAUGAAAGAACCUUAAAUGCAUAUUACUAACUGAAAGAAACUGAUCUGAAAAGGCUGCAUACUGUAAGAUUCCAACUGUGUCACAUUCUGGAAAAGGCAAAACCAUGGAGACAGUAAAAAGAGCAGUGGUUGGCAAGGGUUGGGGGAGAGAGGGAUGAACAGGCAGAGCACAGGGGAUUUGCAGGACUGUGAAACUACUCUGUAUGAUAUGACAGUGGUGGAUAUGGCAUUAGACAUCUGUUCAAACCCACAGAAUGUACUGAGGACUAAACUGACAUUUUUUCUCUCUUGCCCAAAUUCCUAUCUAAGGGGCCUGGGGAGUCAGGCCCUAUAAACUAACAUCUCAACAGAUGAGCUUUAUUUAACCUCAUAUAUAACACAGCUUACUUUCCUACCUGACUCUAGUAUAACAUCCUAUGACAGAUAAAGAAUGAAAUAAAAAUAUUUUACCCCAAAAUAGGUGGUUUUUUUUUUGCAUAUUUUGAAAUGGCCCUGCAACGCUAUCUCUUGUGGGGAAAAUUUGCAUCUGUAAAGAAUCUCUAUUACCAUAACUAGCUCUUUUCCCUUCCGGGCCCUCCCAGUCCUCUAGAGAUUGGCUGAAAGUCUAGCACCUUUUAAAAGUCUAAAUAGGAAACAUUGGCCAUCUAUUGUCUCUAAGGGCGACCCCCAUGAGACUUCAUCUACAUGGUAAGAACCUUGGUCUCCACAACCCCUUAUCUUGACCCAGAUACUCCUUUGUAUUGAUUGCAGGUUUUUAGAUAAUAACUGUUUCAAUCAAUUGCCAAUCAGAAAAUCUUUGAAUCCACCUAUGACCUGGAAGCCUUCCUCCCACCGACCCCCUUCGAGCUGUCCCACCUUUCUGGACUGAAUCAGUACAUCUCACAUGUACUGAUUAAUGUCUCAUGUCUCCUUAAAAUGCAUAAAACCAAACUGUAAAACAACCGCUUUGGGCACAUGUUCUCAGGGCCUCUUGAGACUGUACCUUGGGUCACUUACAUUUGGCUCAGAAUAAAUCUCUUCAAAUAUUUUACAGAGUUUGGCUCUUUUCACUGACAGUGCAACACCAAGAGUGACCCUAAUGUGAAUCACAGACUUUGGGUGAUAAUGAUGUGUUGGUGUGCGUUUAGCAGUAGUAACAAAUGCGCCCUGCUGGUGCAGGACAUGGACAGUAGGGCAGGCUGUGCGUGUGUGUGUGUGCGCACACGUGUGGGGCUGGUGAGGGGUGCAUAUGAGAGCUCUCUGCACACUCAGCUCAAUUUUGCUGUGUAGGUGUAGAAAAAAUCUUCCCUCCACCCAUCUUAGGUUUAUUGUCUUGGCCCUACAAAUUUAGACCAAUGAAAGCCAGGUUAACAAGAGAAAACAACACAUUUAUUAAUUCGUGCAUCACAAAUACACAUGGGAGAGCUCAGUGAUAAGUAAUAACUCAAAAAGGUGGUUAGAACUUGUGCUUAUUAGCACCCUAAUGAGAGAGCAAUGUAUUUGUAGAGAGGUGGAAAGACAAAGGAAGGGGACCUUGAGCUUCUUUGGAUAACAAGUUGUGGGAAGGUAGAUAUAUGGGGGAAGCUGACAGAUAAGGCUGAUUUGGCGUGCUUGUGAUGUUGAUUUUUCUGGUGCCAUCUCUGGGCUGGUAAGAGCUAUCCUGCCCUUCUGGUAGAUGGGGGCAGGGCAGAGAGUUUGUCCUGUGUCUACUUGGUCUCAGUUGUCUUCAGCUGAAAAUAAUCUUUAUGUCAGAGUGGCAUAUUUUGGGAUGGCAUAUUCUAAGCCCCUUCAGCUGUGAAUUCAAAACAACUCUAAAAAGUUAAUUAAAAAUUGUAUUCCUAUAACAUGGCCCUUGCUGGUGGGGCUCAGGACACACCACCCCAAAAUAUGACAGUACAAAACCAGAUAUGUGGACACAAAAUAUACUUCUUAGGCAAAUUUUGAUCUUGUUACUCUAAGAAAUUGCAGACACAGGAGUAGCUCUGAAAAACUGCCCUGUUGUAAAAGAAAUUUAUAACUAUAAAAUAAAUCUACAUUAGUAAAGUAUCUGUAUCAGGAAGAGGGCUGAUUCCAGACAACUUCUAUCACCCCCAGAGACUUUUCUCUGCAGAACCAGACACCUUUUAUUCACCAGACAUUGCCUCCCCUCACCCUCCCAGAACUUGUGCCCAUUCCCAACGAGCCCCAAGCCCUUGUUCCUUUCUGUAACUCAGGACACUAUCUAAGCUUCAUUCAUCUGGCCCUUCUCCUGGUCUAUAGUUUGGGGGACUCCUGUGCAUAUAGAUGUAAUUAAAAUGGUUAUUCUCCUAUUAGCCUUUCUUAUGUCAAUUUAAUUCCUAGCCCAGCCAAAGAACCUAGAAGUGGAAGGAGAAGCCAUUUUUCCCUCCACUACCUGCUUUUUAAGAUCCCAGUUUGUUGGAACCACUUCAGAGUUAACCCUCUGUAAAUACUUGUCAGUCCUCAUCUUUUCAUUGUUUUCACCUGACAUUCACUCUUUAUAUCACUCUUAUGUCCCCCAGCAGGUUGCUCAAGAAACUCUCCCUUGCUGUGGACACUGCUGACUUCUGUAAAAUACAUUUACAGGAGGCCAUUGGUUUGGACUGAACUUCUGCACUAGGCCCAACAGACUGAGAUGGAGCAUGGACCCCUAUUAGAGGCCUGCUGGGCCUCCUCCAAGCAUGGAAACAAAGGAAAAUCUUGAUUUCCUUCAAGGGAAAUUCCAGUUCCAUGAUGGAAAAUCUAAUGGCCACUUUCCAUUUACCAUGUCCAAGGAGCAGUCCAGGUAAGUGACUCCUUUUGUUUCUGGGGUCCAUCUUGCUCCUGGCUCCUGACGCCGAUGCUUCUCCUUCUCAUCCUGCCUUUCUGGAUGCUCCUUCCCAAGGUUUGCCAGCACGCUCACAACCCCUGCUUGGGAUUUAAAAUCUGAAGUGUGUCAUAACUCACCCCUGGACUCUGUUAUUCUUUUACUGGUAUGCCAGAAAAAAAGAACCCCAAGCCCUCUGGGUGACCAAAUUGAUAUUUAAGGCACUAAUUAUUAACUCUAUUCUUACAACCUCCAGAUUUUAUCUCCACUCAGAAUUAUAUGUACAGCUGCCUAGCUGAUUUCCAGACUGAAAUGCCUCUUUGACAUUACAGAUUAAAACUGAUCCCACUCUAUAGUCUAGGUCAUCUUCCUUGACUUGGCUGUGACCCAGACUUACUGUCUAAAUAAAUGGUGUGACGGCCCACCUAGGGACUCCAUUCCAGACUCUAGGAGAGUUUCUUCAGCCUGUAUCCCCCCACAUCAUAAACAAUCCAUUACCGAGUCCUGUUCAUUCUUCCAAUACAUCUCUCCAAAGGCUUCCCUCCAUUUCCACAAUGACCCCAACUGUUUCGCCACUCGCUCCUUGAAGAACCUCUGCAUUUGUUUCUGGCUUUUGGCUACGAGGAAUAAGCCUGCUGAGAACAUUCAGCUCCAGGAUUUUGUGUGAAUGAACAGAGAAUUUACAGCUUACCGAGCCAGGCCAUUGCACUUUUGGACAACUCUACUAAAUGGAUUUUCCUCUUGCCAUCGCAUAACUGCUACCUGCCACCAGAGCCUUAGAAAUACAUGGUUUUCCAUCAAGCACUCAUGGAACACGUAACUGUGGGCACUUCUGGGGGGUUCAUGAUGGAUCCUCCAAGAUCAACUAAAUAUAAAACAAGCUCCCAGCUGAGGCAGCUGCUCUCGCCUCUUCUUUCACUCGCUCCUGGCAGCACAGCAAUCCCUGCAAGUUACUCGGACCCUCAGGACUCCUCGUUCAAGUGCAAUGGAAGACCAUGCAGAUGGCAGGGAAAGCCAAAGAAAGCUCAGGUGGCCCAUCAUGGCUGUCAUCGGUGGAAGAAUGUCUCUAACACUGAACUUUAGUAAUGACAUGCUCUCCCCUUGUCCUGGACCUUCAUUUUAAAAUAGAGCAUUCAGGUGGGAGGGGAACCACAGGGGCACUUCGAUCCUGAACCUGCUCUGGGCAGUGGCUCUAGCCUUUGGGAUUUUGUGCUCAUUUACUUUUUUUUGAGAUGGAAUCUUGCUCUGUCACCCAGGCUGGAGUGCAGUGGUGUAAUCUCGGCUCACUGCAACCUCCAUCUCCUGGGUUCAAGCAAUUCUCCUGCCUCAGCCUCCUGAGUAGCUGGGAUUACAGGUGCACGCCACCAUGCCCAGCUAAUUUUUGUAUUUUUAGUAGAGAUGGGGUUUCACCAUCUUGGCCAGGCUGGUCUCAAACUCUUGACCUCAAGUGAUCCAACUGUCUCGGCCUCCCAAAGUCUUGGGAUUACAGGCAUGAGCCACCAUGCCUGGCCUGUCCUCAUUUACUUAAAGAGCCGUUACUCACCCCCAAUUCCUCAUAUAUAGUGGCCAACUUCUUUGAAAUCCAGAGACAUUUCCGAAUGCUCAACCCUUUUUUCACCAAUUCUAUCUGUUUCUAAAAGAAGUGUCACUCAGGAUGGAUAUGCUUUUAGAGAAACACUGUGACAAAGACCCUUUGCUCCAGAGGAAGGACCUGCAGUGGCCCCAGGCCGUGGCUCCAGCAUCACUUGAGACAGUGUGAACAUUUGGACACAAUUAAAAAGAGGACACUUAAUCAAAGAGCACACUUACAAAGGAAAGGGGCAGGAAAGCCGGGAGGCAGGAGGUACGGGACCCCACGUGGGACAGGCAGCUGUGUGUUGUUGGUACCACCUUCCUGCCAUGGCUUUCCUACAGCAGCAGAGAGAAAGCCCAUUUCUGCUCUCUGCUGCAAGGCUCUCUGGAUGGAAGGCCCAGUUCCACAGGAAGGAAAUCCUGGUGGCUGAGGCGUGGCUGUGCAUAGCCUGGAUGGCUCAGCCUGUGGCCGGCAGGCACCCAGGGCCCCUGGUGGGGGUCUCACCAGCUUGGGAUGGCCUCAGCUCCCAGGCUGCAGCCCCCACUGCCAUUUCGAAGGUGAGAAAGAACUAUCUGUGUGGACCUCUCAUCCCGCACAGUGAGGGAGGCGGGAGCUGGGUGGUGCAGGGAAUUAGGAAAGGCAAACCUGGGACCUGCUGUGCCCUGCAGUGCAGUUUCCAGAGGGGAGAAGCCCGGGGUGGCAGACGUUUGCAUUUGGAUAUUAGAAAUGCUCUUCUUGGCCGGGCGCGGUAGUUCACGCCUGUAAUCCCAGCACUUUGAGAGGCCGAGGCGGGCAGAUCAUGAGGUCAGGAGAUCGAGACCAUCCUGGCUAACACGGUGA